GAGGACGGGCAGAGGGACAGGCAGGUGCCGGACGCUCACCCUCUUCCUCCUCCUCCCCUCUCCCAGAUUUCAGCCUGCCCGAAGACUUCUGCUACGCCGACCCCGAGAAGUCCAACGGGUCCUGGGACACCAUCGCCGUCUUCAUCACCCUCUUCCUCCUCAGCGUCUGCUACAGCGCUACCAUCACCCUCUUCAAGGUCAAGUGGCUCCUCUCCACCGUCAUCCAGCUCAAGCAGGGCCCUGCCCGCGACUACAAGAACGUCAUCCAGCGUGUGGUCUAGGGGGGGCGUGUCCCCCCCGGGGAGGUGACACCGGGGGGGGGCGGGGCCACCUCUCCCAUUGGCCGCUUGCACUGAGUGACAAUAAACCCCGCGCCCGGCAAAGGGGGAGGGGAUAGGAAAGGGGGGGGGAGGGGCGGGGGGGGGGCGUGCACGGGGAGGAGAACGGGGUGCAGGCGUGCACGGAGACGUUGCACGGGCGCACGCGUGUGCACAGAGAGGCAAAAAAAUGGGGCGCGGGCGUGCACGGGGAGGACGUUGCACGGACGUUGCGCGUGUGCACGGAGAUGACGCGUGGGUGCACGCGUGCACAGGGAGGAAAACAGGCUGCAGGCGUGCACGGAGGGGACUUUGCACGGGCGCACACGCGUGCACGGAGAGGACGAUGCACGGGUACAUGCAUGCACGGAGAAGAAAACGGCGUGCGCACUUGCACGGACGUUGCACGCGUGCACGGAGAGGAUGUUGCACGGAUGCACACGCGUGCACAGAGAAGAAAACAGGGUGCACGCAUGCACGGGGAGGACGUUGCACGGUUUGCACGGAGAUGACGCGCGGGUGCACGCGCGCAUGGAGAGGACGUCGCGUGAACGCACACGUGCGCAGGAGAGACGGGGGGGCACGUAUGCACGGAGAAGACGUCGCACGGAGGCGCGCGUGCGCGGGGAGGACGUUGCACGGCUACACGCGCGCACGAAGGAAACGGGGCGCGCGUGCGCGGUGAGGAAAACCGGGCUGCAGACGUGCACGGAGAGGACGUUGCUCGCGUGCACGGCGAGGAAAACGGGGUGCACGGGGAGGCCGACGCCUGGGUGCUCGGAGACCGAGGGUGGUGGAGGUCUCCUCGCCUCCGCUGCGGGUGGCAGAUGUUUCCUGUCCGUACCCGCCCCCCCCCCCCAUCCCG
Molecule: long non-coding RNA, 1182 nt
Organism: Aquila chrysaetos chrysaetos
Lineage: Eukaryota; Metazoa; Chordata; Aves; Accipitriformes; Accipitridae
Exons: 3
Source: RefSeq, a predicted model, not a curated record